ACGAACGCUGGCGGCAGGCUUAACACAUGCAAGUCGAACGGUUGUAGCAAUACAGCAGUGGCAGACGGGUGAGUAACACGUGGGAACCUUCCUAGGGGUACGGAACAACUCAGGGAAACUUGAGCUAAUACCGUAUACGUCCGUGAGGAGAAAGAUUUAUCGCCAUUGGAGGAACCCGCGUCCGAUUAGCUAGUUGGUGAGGUAAUGGCUCACCAAGGCGACGAUCGGUAGCUGGUCUGAGAGGACGAUCAGCCACACUGGGACUGAGACACGGCCCAGACUCCUACGGGAGGCAGCAGUGGGGAAUAUUGGACAAUGGGGGCAACCCUGAUCCAGCCAUGCCGCGUGAGUGAUGAAGGCCUUCGGGUUGUAAAGCUCUUUUGGCGGGGACGAUGAUGACGGUACCCGCAGAAUAAGCCCCGGCUAACUUCGU
This 433-nucleotide ribosomal RNA is filed under the name uncultured bacterium. RNAcentral describes it as "bacterial SSU rRNA". It matches the Rfam family "Bacterial small subunit ribosomal RNA", at positions 29 to 506 of the family's 1533-position model. The record is from RNAcentral.